Molecule: non-coding RNA, 22 nt
Filed under: Arabidopsis thaliana (thale cress)
Lineage: Eukaryota; Viridiplantae; Streptophyta; Magnoliopsida; Brassicales; Brassicaceae
Source: RNAcentral
ACAAAGAUGUGCUUCAUAAGUU